This is an RNA transcript of Populus trichocarpa (black cottonwood), 1423 nucleotides long. It is a transcript of the gene named E3 ubiquitin-protein ligase RING1-like, with no coding region annotated. The record is from RefSeq and is a predicted model, not a curated record. NCBI's taxonomy places the organism in Eukaryota, Viridiplantae, Streptophyta, Magnoliopsida, Malpighiales, Salicaceae. The transcript has 2 exons.
UGCUCGAACUAUUCUUACUGCUUUCUUUUGUCUCUUCAGGAAAAAGAGGGAAAAAGGUGGGGGGGAAAAACUUUCCCUUUUAUAGAAAAAUCCCAAUCAUGUCCUUCACCGGAGCUCCGCCACCACCCGGCGUGACCGCUGCAACAACGACCACACCGAAACAAUACUUCUGUUACCAAUGCAACCUUGCAGUCUCGAUAACUGUCUCUCCCUCUAAUGACCCGUUUUGCCCAAUUUGCCACGAUAGCUUCAUAGAAGAACUCGAGGCCCGAAACCCUCAAAACCCGAAUCCAUUAUCCGAAUCGGUUUUAAACGACCCUUUUGACCCCUUCUCUUCUCUUUUUCCUCCCCUCUUUCAAAUCUCUGGCAAUUUCUCUCAUCCUGAAUUUCAAAUCCGACCCGAAUUAUCUGACCAGAAUGCGUUUAACCCAUUUGAUUUCCUACGUUCUCACCUCCAAAACCUCCAUUCUGGUGGUGCUCGGGUCCAGUUCGUGAUUGAGAACAAUGGGGGCGAACAGGGAGGACUUCGAUUCCCAGGUGGUAAUUUUGGUGAUUAUUUUAUUGGGUCGGGUUUGGAGCAACUGAUCCAACAGUUGGCUGAAAAUGAUCCGAAUAGGUAUGGGACACCACCCGCGUCGAAGACGGCGAUUGAGGCGUUGCCCACGAUGAAAGUUACCGAGGAGAUGAUGAAAUCAGAGAUGAAUAAUCAAUGUGCUGUGUGUAAAGAUGAGUUUGAGAGUGGAGAAGAAGUCAAGGGAAUGCCUUGUAAACAUGUGUUUCAUGAGGAUUGUAUAAUGCCUUGGUUGAAGAUGCAUAAUUCAUGUCCUGUUUGUCGAUAUGAGUUGCCUGCUGAUGAUCCUGAUUAUGAGAAUAGAGCCACUGGAGGGCAAGGGAGUGGUGGUGGUAGUGGUGGAGGUGUGGAGAGAAGGUUUACUAUUUCGAUUCCUUGGGCGUCUGGUGGAGGUGGACAAAGCAGUUCUUGAAAGAUUGGAUUUUGGAGUGGAGACUUUUGGUGAGUGUUUUUUCUUGUUUUUGUUUUUUGGUGUAAAUGUUGUUACUUUUAUAAAAUUUGGAUCGAUUGCUUAAGGUGUUUCUGGUUUAGUGUUGUUAGAGGAGUAGUUUUGUGGAGUUAGAAUGAAUAGACCGGAUAUCAAGGAAUUUGGCAUGGUCUUUUGGCUCUUGGUAACCUGCUUUUGUAGGUGUGGAAAGAAUUUCACUCCGAAAAGGAUUCUCUUCAGGUGAGUAUGGAAGCUGGAAACUGGAAAGCAAGUUCCUGUGUGUAGAAAUGAUUGAAUGUAUUUAAGAUUUUCAUAUAUUUACAUUUUGCAAGUUACUGAACAUGGUAUAUUCAAAAUUGUUUUUCUAUGUUGUAUAGUAACUUUUAUAGGUUCUGCAUCUUGAAAUGCCCUUUUUUCCCUUGUUA